GGGCGCCGCGCUGGUCGGUUAAGACGCGGCGAGGCGCCAUUUCGCCCUCCCCGGCCCGCGCCGCGGCUGAGCCCGCGGUGAGCGGCGCGCCGAGGCCACCGCCGCCUGCAGCAGAAGCCAGCGCUCCGAAACGCCUGUUAAGUAGGCUGUCCGCAAGGAAACGUGAUCUGAAGAGGAAGGGGAAAGUUCAGAGUGGUUCCCCCAGAGCCUCGCAGCCCUGGCAGCGGCCAGACAUCCGUCCCAGCUCGUUGCUUCCCUUGGGGGUGAAAAGCCCAGGAGAGGCAGCUGGCGGGGGCGAGCGGAGGCACCAGGAGCAUUGGGAGACUCAUGAAGCAGCAGGGCAGUACCUAUGGCUCCCCUACUUCCAUACAGAUAAGCCACAGGCAGAAAGUACUUUGCAGUCUGUUGCACCUGGAUCUGCAAACAUUACUCCUUAGGGCUCACCUCAUGGACAGAAGGAGCUCCCGGAUUUGUGGCGACUGGUUUGUGCUUGCAUCCACCCAACCAACUCACCGAAGAUGGGAGAGGUAGCUGCCAGCUGAACUUCAGCAAACUGGAGCACGAGAGCCUGCUCCAGCUUUGACUAUGUCCAACCUAGCAAGUCACAGAGACAACAGAAAU
This is a long non-coding RNA of Apteryx haastii (Great spotted kiwi), 621 nucleotides long. NCBI's taxonomy places the organism in Eukaryota, Metazoa, Chordata, Aves, Apterygiformes, Apterygidae. The record is from Ensembl.